RNAcentral lists this ribosomal RNA (524 nucleotides) under uncultured bacterium. Its description in RNAcentral is "bacterial SSU rRNA". It matches the Rfam family "Bacterial small subunit ribosomal RNA", at positions 47 to 560 of the family's 1533-position model. The record is from RNAcentral.
CCUAACACAUGCAAGUCGAACGGUAACAGGAAGAAGCUUGCUUCUUUGCUGACGAGUGGCGGACGGGUGAGUAAUGUCUGGGAAACUGCCUGAUGGAGGGGGAUAACUACUGGAAACGGUAGCUAAUACCGCAUAACGUCGCAAGACCAAAGAGGGGGACCUUCGGGCCUCUUGCCAUCGGAUGUGCCCAGAUGGGAUUAGCUAGUAGGUGGGGUAACGGCUCACCUAGGCGACGAUCCCUAGCUGGUCUGAGAGGAUGACCAGCCACACUGGAACUGAGACACGGUCCAGACUCCUACGGGAGGCAGCAGUGGGGAAUAUUGCACAAUGGGCGCAAGCCUGAUGCAGCCAUGCCGCGUGUAUGAAGAAGGCCUUCGGGUUGUAAAGUACUUUCAGCGGGGAGGAAGGGAGUAAAGUUAAUACCUUUGCUCAUUGACGUUACCCGCAGAAGAAGCACCGGCUAACUCCGUGCCAGCAGCCGCGGUAAUACGGAGGGUGCAAGCGUUAAUCGGAAUUACUGGGCG